UAUUUUGGCAGAUUAGUGCAUUUGAUUUAGAAUCAUUUUAAGUAAAGUUUUUUUAUUACAAGUAAUAU
Molecule: transfer RNA, 68 nt
Filed under: Cautires parallelus
Lineage: Eukaryota; Metazoa; Arthropoda; Insecta; Coleoptera; Lycidae
Description: tRNA-Leu
Source: RNAcentral